This is a small nucleolar RNA of Echinops telfairi (small Madagascar hedgehog), 130 nucleotides long. The record is from Ensembl. NCBI's taxonomy places the organism in Eukaryota, Metazoa, Chordata, Mammalia, Afrosoricida, Tenrecidae.
GCAUGGGUUCGGGUUGAUGGCAGGUCCGAUCCCAUGGGCCUUUCACAGUGUCCUGUGCCUCAGCAAACUAACCCCAAACCAUUGCCUGGCUUUACCGUGGGCUUCAGGAACGGAAGCAGGUUGCAGAGUG